Molecule: long non-coding RNA, 9202 nt
Organism: Lemur catta (Ring-tailed lemur)
Lineage: Eukaryota; Metazoa; Chordata; Mammalia; Primates; Lemuridae
Exons: 2
Source: RefSeq, a predicted model, not a curated record
AUGGGUGGGAACAGCCACUGCGUGAGUGAUCUUAACCAGUCUUCCACAGGCUCUUUUACACAGAAAACAGAAAAAUGCUAAAAAAAAAAUUUAAAAAAAGAAAAAAAUAUUGCUGAAUGGAAAAUGAACAUCAACUACAAAAGAAGCCCAGUAAGAUGAGCCAAGACCACAAGAGAAGGAGAUAAACAGGAGAACUGGAUUGGAUCAUUUCUCAGCUUCGGUGUGGAUUCUUGUCUGUCCAAGGCUCGGAGAGCGUGGCCCAGAAAGGAGCGAAGUGCUACACAUGGCAGGACCUCCCUCCGCUGAGACAGUCGGGCGUGAGACCCUCUGGGAGCCCCCAGCCUGCGGAGGUGAUCUGUGUGUGCCGGGAGGGGACUGCGGGGCGGAAGACCUCCCCAGCAGGUGGAGGUGUGAGUGGCAGACGCCGACCCCCGACCCCCUCCCUUCUUUGCGCCCCCCCCCCAGCUGACCGUCUGGAAGCAUAGCCCCCUUGGCAGGGAGGAGGGGACUGGCCAAGAAGAGGCUGGGACACACGCUCCCAGGCUUCUCGACAUCCCCUCCUGGGGGGCACUGACAACAGUUGAUUUCAGAAGUUGGUUGACUUCAUGAGGCAGAGCCUUCCCUCUAAGUCACGCUACUUUCCAUUCCGCUGUGGUGGGAUUAUCACCGAACCCAUUUUUCUGGAUCGAUGCUUUAGGAAGGUAUCAGUCACCUGAAGGCAGGUUGCACGUCACCCCCCUGGCAGAACCCGCACAGCUGUGUGCGCUGCUGGACACAGGCUCUGCUCUGGGCGGUGGAGCAGAUGCCUGGAGACCAGUGUGGGACGCCCUCGCCAAAGCCUGGCGUGCUCCAGGGGCUCUGUUCUAGGAGACAGGGAGGGAUGUGCCCACUUUCCAGAGGAACCUGAGCCACCACGGGAGACUCAGGAUGUCUGAUUCUGUCGUCUCUGCUGCUCUGCUGAGUGUCUGCACCUCCUCGCCCCAUGCCCCAUCUUCUCCCCGUGGCGGGCUCCCUUUUAUUCCCCACCCCAGCAUCUAAGCAGAUGCCAUGUUAGAUUCCCAGGGCUGCUGUGACACUGGGUGGCUUAAAACAACAGCAUUUAUUCUACCCGUUCUGGACAACAAAAUUCAAAAUCCAGGUGUCAGCGGGGCUGGUUCCAGGGGCUCAGAGAGAAAACCCUGUCCCAGCCUCCCUCCUGGCUUGUGGUGGCUGCCGGCAAUUCUCGGUGUCCCCUGCUGUGGCGGCUGCUUACCUCUACUCUCUGGCUCCAUUGUCACAUGGUCAUCUUCCUUUUGUGUGUCUGCAUCAUCACAUGGCAUUCACCUGUCCAUGUGUCCCUGUCUCUGUGUCUCUUCUCCUCUUCCUAAAAGGACACCAGUCAUAUUGGAUUAGGACUCACCCUAAUGACCUCAUCUUGGCUUGAUGACAUCUGCAAAGACCCUAUUUCCAAAUAAGGUCACAUUCACAGGUGCCGGGGACUAGGGCUUCAGCUGUCUUUUGGAGGGGACUAUUGAACCCACAACAGCGGCUGAGUCCCGAGAGCUCUCACUGUGCAGGGCCUCGGGUCCCCUCUCCUGUCACCCCUCCAGUCUUGCUGUCCAGCCCUGGUUCCCUCAGACAUUUGCUCCCUCCUGAACUACCCGGCAAGGGACAUCUUCCCUGUCUUCUCUGAGACUCCCAGAGCGUCCUCUGCCCUCUGAUGGCUUUUGUUUGUGCCACAUGUGCAUGUGUGUGUAUUUCUGCCCCCUGCCAUGUCUGUAGACUCCAGGAGACCAGGAACCACAUCUAACCACCUCUGUGUCCUCUACACAAUCACAGAAGGGAAACUAUAAACAUGAUGGGUAAUUUUAUGUGUCAACUUGUCCGGUCCAUAGGGUGCCCAGAUAUUUGAUUAAACAUUCUUUCUGGGUGUGUCUGUGCAGGUGUUUCUGGUAUGAUUAGCAUUCGAGUGGGUGGCCUGUAAGGUAGACGGCCCUCCACAGUGUGGGUGGGCUUCAUCCAACCCACUGAGGGCCCAGAUAGAACAAAAAAUGGAGGAGGAGAGAAUUCUUUCUCUCUGCCUAACUGCUUGAGCUGGAACGUUGGUCUUCCCUGUCCUCAGACCAGGAGUUACAUCAUUGGCCUCUGAGUUUCAGUCCUUUGGACUUGGCCUAGGACUCGUCCCGUCAGUUCUCCUGGUUCUCAGCCCUUCAGGCUCAGACUCAGUCACACCAGCUUCCUGGGUCUCCAGCCUGCAGAAAGCGGGUUAUAGAGCAUCUUGGCCUCCAAAUCAUGUGAUUCCUCAUUCAUUCUCUCCCUCUCUCUCUCUAGGUAGGUGGAUGGAUGGAUGGAUGGGAAGAUAGAUAAAUAGACAGAUACAUAGAUAGACAGAUAUCCCUUCACACUAGGUGGCAGCUCGGGGAGGGUCUUUUAGAGGAGGAUCAUGUCAAGGGCAGCCCUAGCCCCGGAGCCUGUCCCCUGCAGGGGGUGACAUACCCACGCCCCCCAGAAAGCGCACCUCUCCACUUCUCAACCAACCACAUGGGAGGAGAGAAGACAAAUCACAAAUCUAUUUGUGCUUUUUCCAAGAUUUUGAAGAACCAAUUAUAGACUUUAUUGUUUUGCUUUAGAAAGAUGACAGAUUGAGAACCAGAUGUAGUCCCAUCUCUGCCCCUUAUUAGCCAUGUGACCUCUGGUCCCCUCUCUGAGCCUCAGCGUCCUCACCUUCAACACGCAGUUAACACCUGUCGUCCCCGCUUGUGGGAUGCCCCAGAGAUGCUACCCGUGAAGACGCUGUGGUACUGAGUAGAGAGGAACUUACUUGAUUGCUGUUACUCUCUGUUACCCCAAAAGGACAGGAAAAUGGUCUUUACCUUAGGGAAAUGGUUUCAAAUAAAAAGUCGCUGUGCCUUAAGGGUUGUAGUGAAACGGAAAUGGAGGUUUGGGUAACACCCAUCAGAAGAGAGGAAGAGAGCCGGUGGCCUUUUUAUUAGUCCACAGAAAACUGAGGGUUCAGGGGACGAUGCCUCGGGAGCCCCCAGCCCCGCACACAGUGGCGGCUGCUCACAAGCCCGCCCCUGACGCUCGCUCACGACACUGCACUGACUCGCCACGCAGCGUGCCGCGUGCGCUGUACCGAGCGGUGCGCUGGGAACCACGCACCUGCCACGUGGCUGAGAGGUCUGUGUCCGUCAUCACACGAAACCCUCCAGCAGCCCUGGAGGUCCCAGGUACAUGACGCGUGAGAAGACUGCAACUCGGCAGGUCAGGCCUGUCCCACAGCCCUACUGCGAGGAAGACGGAGGACUGGCCCCCGGGUCCCCCAUGCCUAGCGUGGGGCUGUCCCGCACGCCCUCACUGCACAGGCAGGGAACCAAGGCCCCGGGAGGAGAAAUGACUUGCCCGUGUCACUCUGAAAGUCAGCAACCUGAGACCAGUCCCCAUUCCCAGAUCAAGAUCCUCUGGCUACUUCGACCUCCUCCAGAAGAAAUUCUGCUCACACGGCCCCUUCCAACGCACAGCCCACAGCGCACUCACGGGGGCGUGGGGGUGGGGUGGCUCUCACACGGCCACCGGGUCAUCUGGGCUCUUUGCGUCAGGUGAUUUACCUGACAGCCAGCUAAUCUCUCCUUUCCUGGACUCUCCCCUUCCCGGCCCACGUGCCGCCCCAGUGACACGCUCAGUGCUGUAAAUGAGGGUGUCGUGGCGUGUUCUCAGGUCUUACUGGAAGUGCAGCUGUUAAAAAAUAAUUUAGUAAACAGCCGGCCCAGUCCGUGCACGUCAGCAGCGCCGAUCGGGGCUCUGACGCCAGCAAAGGCGGGGCUGAGGCCCCGAGCCAGAGGCCUCUCCAGCUGCCGUCCUGUCCUUGGCACCUGCCUGUGCCUCGGGCGGAGGACAGCCGGGCACCCCGCAGCCCUGGCCCUCUCCUGCUGGCUUCCGAAGCUUCCAGAGUUUCCUUGAGAAAACAGUCCUGCUCGCAAAACUGAGACUGGGGCGUUGUUCUCCCAGGCGACCACAUUCCUUUCUGGGCAGCGCAGGAAAAGGGGACCAGAAUACGGAUAAAGAUGCAGAUAACUGAGACCCUAAACCGAAACUGCAUGGAUGGGACACCCCAGUAACGGAUCUCCCAUCUACGCUGGUCCCAGUUGGGGGCCUCCUUGUCAACGCAGGACAAAUAAGAAUGGUUUGCUUGUAAAACCACAGCUCAGCCACAGUCCAUGGGAGGGCUAAAGACAUUUUUGGAAGGAAGAAUUGAAAACUCCACGCUGGAAAUGUGAGAAUGGAAGCUCGAGUUGGCUUCUUUAAAAUAUCAGUGAGGGAGAAAACUUGCUACUUAAGCACUAAGGCUAUUACAAGGUUCUAGCGAAUGUCGAAAGGAGGCUUUUUCCUUUUGUCUGAAAGCUCACCGUCCCCCAGCCCUGCAGAGCGAUGCCAACAGGGAGCGGGCCAUAAAUAGGAGACAAAAAUGAAUGUCAGCGUAAGUUCUGGAUCAACCACCGAUAAUAACAGUAGUCACAGAAAUCACUGUUGACUUAGCCGUAACCCACUCAGAAGGCGGCAGGGACUUUGCCUUGUCCCCACAGUGUCUCCAGCCUACAACAGUCGUUGGCACAGAGCUGCUCAAUCUCUGUUUUGGACAGAUCAGUGUGCGUGUGAGUUCCUUGUGCCAGACACCAUGUUUCACGUUGACCAUGUGUCACGAUUCACAGUCUUUUCCACCCCAUGAAGCAGGUGUGAUUCCCAUUUUACGGAUGAGGAAGGAAAGGCUUGGAGAGGUUGAGGAAGUCGUCCGGGGUUUGCAGCCGCGCAGCGUCAGAGCCUGGCUGGGAAGCGCGGCCACGGUGCUUCCAGAGCUCAUGCAAUUGACCGGGACACCGGCCUCCUCUCUCCAAGCGCUGCCAUCUCUAGCCGAGGUCUCUGGGCAGGUCCAUGGGUCCCCAAGUUCUCCUUUGAAUUAUGAAGGGGACCCAAGAAAUUUCAUGCAAAAUGGUGUGUGUGUGCCCUUGGACGCGAUGCUGGAAUGAAAGUCCUUGGCCUUCAGAUCUUCAGAGAAACCCAGGAUCAAAAACCGUUUAGGAAUCACUGUUCUAGACGCUACAGAAGUACCUAGCAGGAGGGUGACCAGCUGCGCUUUGCCCCGGUCAGUCUUGGUUUAACACUGAAAAUCCCACGUCCUGGGAACCCCGUUGGUAAGAGGGCUGUGGAGCCCUCGGGUGAAGGACGGAUUGAGUCCGGGUUCCUGGUGCUUUUCCGUCAGCAGGAGAUAACAGGCUGAGAGGAGCAGGGAGGGGGGAAGCAGGGACCGGUACAGGGCUCCAAACCAGGGGUGGGAAAGGCCUGGGAGGAAGUCCUGGGAGGCGGGCAAAGCGGGAGCACGAGGUGUUUGGGGCAGAGAGGUUUCCGAGGAGUGAAGGGGUGGCCAGAAGCUCCCCCUCCCCAAAUUCUGCAGCUGAUGUCUGUUUACAGGAGCACUGGGUCAUGUGGGUGAGGACAGUGGACAUUGUGUCGGCAUCGUGCACAUUUUGGGAGCGAUCCUCCCCUCCCAAUCCACUGGGUGGCCCAGGGGGGUCCCCAGGAACCCCAAGAGCCUGCCCCCUGCAGAGCAGCAGCUCUAGACAGAUCAGACUCUGAGGCCCACAGUGGGUCUCUGCCAGGAGCGUCCCUGGAGGCAUCCCAAAGCCAGCGCGGUGAGGAACGUGAGCUGUGCAUUCCCAGGGAGAUGUCCGGGUGUGCUGCAGGCCUGCGUUCCCCAUGACCUAUGAGGGGCCAGGGGAGGGGUCUGGGAUCCCCCAGGCCUCUGCUGCGGCCCCAGGGAGGCCUGCGCCUGGCAACUGGAGGUCAUCAGCCUGCUUCGCCAAGGAAAGCAAGAGCAGGCUGGCCUGAUACACCUCCUUCCCUGGCUUGACAGUGGCAGGACCACCCGGGAGAGCGUCAGCUUCCCUGAUCCGAGCACUGCGGGCAGCCCUGGAGCUGGCGCAGCCGUGGGCCAGUUUGGGGGAUCACAAGGGGCUUACUGGAUGAUGCCUCUGCGCCUGUCUUUUGUUUCUAAGUUCAGGAUGCUCUUGCCCCCAACACCCUUUGGAAUGUGUGGCUCUGAGCUCCAGGUGGCUGAGUUCUAGCACCCGCAGGUACCUUUCGCCCUAAGGACCAGGCAGCCCCAGAAAUGACAGUAGGGAGUCCUAUGUGUGAGUCCUGCCAGGCACAGUGUUCCCAAAGUAAGCUUUCAUUCCCCAAGGUAGUGGCACUUGUCACUCAGGCCCACCUGGUCCCUGUCUUCUAUUUGCAUGAGCAUGGCCAGGAGGAGCAUGUAUGCAAACAAUGAACAGAGUGUCACCUCACCUGGGCCAUCUGUGUCAGAGGGCAGUCGUUUUUGAACAUCUGCCUCUGCAGAGCCUGACCUGGCCUCGGCAUGCCCUGUCUGGCUGCCCGUGGGCGGAAUCCAUCAGGGUGUGUGAGAAGUAACCACUGACAUGGAGAAUGGCACAGGCGUCUGACCCACAGGCCACAAACUUUGCCUGCGGAAGGAAGCCUAAGGGUACUUUGGUGGAGAAAUGACCAACCGUGCUAAAUUAGGUGGUUUUCAGACCUGUGACCAAAAAAAACAGCUGUAGGGUUCCCUUCCCUGUCAAAAUUCUUAGGGUGCAAACGACAGCCCCGCCCACCCGUCCUAGGCAGAGCCCAGCCCUGUGGGUGACUGGUCACCAGGGCACAGGCUGGGGUUCCGGGAAGAAGCCAGCUUUCAAAGUGACUGCACACUGCUGUGAAUCAUCCUGAUUCAAAUGAGGUGCAUUUGGAGACAGCCGAUUGCCUCAGAUUAAGGCACAGUUGCCUCAGAAAGGCAUUUACCUCUGGGAGUUUCAGGUAGCGCAGAGAACAGCACAUUUGCAUGUAGAGUCUAAACUCACAGCCUGGCCGCUGUUCUGUGGCUGGCAGGACCCAGUGAAAGCCGACCCCAGGGCCUGCGAUUCCUCCGUGCUUGGUCCUGCCCCACCCCAUCGAAGCACAACUCACUUCAUUUCCCGGUCGUGCCCCUCAGGAGUGGUGCCCACCUCUUCACCAGGGGGUCUUGCCAUUUCCUGGGACAUUCUUUUUGCCACAAAGUGCUUUCUUGUUCUGGGUAACAAUUGACCAUCUCAGAUUCCAGCUACUCUCCAGGUCUCCGUGGUUGAAGUCAACUCCCGUUCUCGGAGUUGUUUCUCCAUGUGUGUGAACAGCUGUCUCUGGCUCGUCCUAUACAGCCCUAAACUCUGAGCUCUUCCUUCUAACCAAAUCCUGGUUUGGAGAGCUUCACUGUCUAGUCCAUCCUGCUUCAGGCUUGUUCUGUUGGUGGCUUCCUCUCAGAGUAUGGACCUCACCAAUAUCACCUCCCUUGUUUCAGCCACUAUACCCCUAUUAGUAUAAUCUAAAAUCACAUUGGCUAUUUUGGCAUCCACAAUGGCGACUCAUAAUGAGUCAUUUAGAGUCAACAAAAACCUUUUUAUAAAUGGCACUGUCUGGUCACAUCUCCCCCCACAUACCCUUCCCCCCUCCCCCCGCGCCCCCAUGCACAGCCAGUAGCUGUUCUGUUAGGUUUUAGAGCAAAAUGCCAGACUUUAUAUUUGUCCCUGUUAUAUUUCUUCUUUUUAAUUUGGCCUGUCAUUCCUCCCCUGCCAUCCAGCAUUGAUUACUGUGGUUUGGAAGCCUGGUGCGAGCACCUUCUGUAGAUGGAUCCAGAUUGCUUAGAGAGCGGUUUCAGUGAUGGGGACAGCUAACGAUGCUAGCCGACCACUUGCUUUCCUCUGCCUUGUCCAGAAAGGUAAUAUGAGGCUGCGUGUUAAUUGCUUUGCUGAAAUAUCCUAAAGUGUUAGGACAGGUAGAGAUGUUAGGGACCAUCUGGUUCAAACCCUUCAUUUUACAGAUGAAGAAACUGAGGCCGGGUGAGGUUAAGGGGCUGCCUGGUCUGUGGCGAAACCAAACAUCAUGACUCAGAUACUCCCACACUCAGGUACCCUUGGGUUAUUUGCCCAGCACAUUGCAUCAGGUCUGCUAGAAGAUUCUGAAACAGUGGACCACAGAGCCCUGACCCUUGGGGAGGAAAGGCUGGGCGGGUCCCAAAAAUCAAGGACAGUAGUCCACCAACAGAUGACGAGAAACAAAAUGCCAUCUGGCCGUGGGAGGGAGUAUUAUACAGCCAUGAAAAGGAAUGGAAGGCUGGCUCACACGGCAGCGUGGACGAACCUUGGAAAGAGUGUGGUAAGUGAGGAAGCCAAUUGCAAAGACCACACGGUGUGCGAUUCCAGUUACACGUAAGGUGCAGAACAGGUGGCCCUUAGAGACAGCAAGCACAUGCGUGGUUGCCAGAGGCUGGGUGGACAGCGACAGAUGGCAGUGACUGCUGAUGGGUACAGGGUUUCUCUUUGGUGUGUUGGAAAUGACAUGUUCUGCAAUUAGACCGUGCUGAUGGUUGCACAGCCCCGUGAAUGUACUCAAAACCACUGAAUUGUACCUCUUAAAAUGGUUAAAAUGGUGAAUUUUAUGGUAUGUGAAUCACACCCUUAAUUUUUUUUAAAAAAAGCCUCAGCCUGUCUUUCCACUGACUCGUGUCAAGAACAAACCCUUUCCUCUGCCCCCGACCAAGGAGCUUUGCAGAGGGUGGGGACGGCCUGCAGGGGCCACUGUCUGGGACAGAUGGAUUUAUUUUCCACAUAAAGGGCCUUUCUGCAAUGUCCUUCCUGGUGCAGCCUGUGUCCCCUGGGCUGCUGUCCUGGGCACCCCACCCCACCUGGCCUGCUCUUCCCACCCCCCCACCUCCCCUGGGGUUUCAGUGGGAAAUGCCUUUUGUGUCUGCACCCCAGAGAACUAGGUCUCCUUUGGCUGCUCUGCCCUGGAAGAAAGUAGGGGACACUUGCUUGUCACUCUUCAACCAGCUCUGUGCUUGUGUGAAGGGCAACAAGGUUCAGUCAUCUCCUGCCGUGUGCCCUUGGAUUCCCUAACCUGCAGUGCAGCCCAGUCUUCCCCUUGCCCAGGCUCCAUUUGGAGGAAUUCAGGUGUGGCACCUGUGGCAUAGGGAUGAGUGACGGCAGCCAGCAGGAGUCACCGGGGGGACCCACCAGCUCUCAGGGCGCAGGGUGAGGAAAAGGAGCCAGAAACUGGACAGCAAGUUUGCAGAAAUCACAACCAAGAGGAAGAGAAGCAACUGAGACUGUUGCAGAAAAAAUAAAAGAAUUUUAAAUCCUUCUGUCAG